GGGGGGAGGCCGGAUCCUGGGCUGUGUCCCGGCGCCCUGUGCCCCGGUCUGUGCUGUUGGAUUCGCACUCCCGCCCCGCAGCCCCCU
This is a non-coding RNA of Canis lupus familiaris (dog), 87 nucleotides long. The record is from Rfam. NCBI's taxonomy places the organism in Eukaryota, Metazoa, Chordata, Mammalia, Carnivora, Canidae.